ACUCUGGUGGAGGCUCGUAGCGAUUCUGACGUGCAAAUCGAUCGUCAAAUUUGGGUAUAGGGGCGAAAGACUAAUCGAACCAUCUAGUAGCUGGUUCCCUCCGAAGUUUCCCACAGGAUAGCUUGAACGCAACGGUUUUGUCAGGUAAAGCGAAUGAUUAGAGGCCUUGGGGCUGAAACAGCCUUAACCUAUUCUCAAACUUUAAAUAUGUAAGACGACCUGUUUGCUUAAUUGAAGCAGGUCAUUGAAUGUGAGUUUUUAGUGGGCCAUUUUUGGUAAGCAGAACUGGCGAUGCGGGAUGAACCGAACGCCGCGCUAAGGUACCCAAGUGUCCGCUCAUCAGAGACCACAAAAGGCGUUGGUACCUCCAGACAGCAGGACGGUGGCCAUGGAAGUCGGAAUCCGCUAAGGAGUGUGUUACAACUCACCUGCCGAAUGAACUAGUCCCGAAAAUGGAUGGCGCUCAAGCGUGUGACCGAUACCCGACCAUUGGCGCGAGAGUUAGGCGUCAAUGAGUAGGAGGGCGUGGGCGUCGUUGUGAAGCCUCUGGCGUGAGCCUGGGUAGAACGGCGUCUAGUGCAGAUCUUGGUGGUAGUAGCAAUUAUUCAAGUGAGAAUCUUGAAGGCCGACGUGGAGAAGGUUUCCGUGAGAACAGCAAUUGGUCACGGGUGACUCGAUCCUAAGACAUGGGGGAAAUCCUUGUUAAG
RNAcentral lists this ribosomal RNA (707 nucleotides) under Strombidinopsis acuminata. RNAcentral's name for it is "partial Eukaryotic large subunit ribosomal RNA". It matches the Rfam family "Eukaryotic large subunit ribosomal RNA", at positions 861 to 1572 of the family's 3401-position model. The record is from RNAcentral. Lineage: Eukaryota; Ciliophora; Spirotrichea; Choreotrichida; Strombidinopsidae.